CGCGCGCGGCAGCCCCGCGGCAGCAGAGCGCCGAGCCGGGAGCGCGGGGAGCGCGGUCCGGCGGCGGCGAGGGAGGACUAGGGCGCAGACGGCCGGCGCGCGGCGCGGCUACCAUGGGCGUGCAGUGAGCAGCCGCUCAGGACGACUUCCUCGGCUGCGCGGCGCUCGAGCGGAGCUCACUGGCUGGCGGUGCGUCCCCACGGUCACCAUGAAAGACGACUUCGCAGAGGAGGAGGAGGUGCAGUCCUUCGGUUACAAGCGGUUUGGUAUUCAGGAAGGAACACAAUGUACCAAAUGUAAAAAUAACUGGGCACUGAAGUUUUCUAUCAUAUUAUUAUACAUUUUGUGUGCCUUGCUAACAAUCACAGUAGCCAUUUUGGGAUAUAAAGUUGUAGAGAAGAUGGACAAUGUCACAGGUGGCAUGGAGACAUCUCGCCAAACCUAUGAUGACAAGCUCACAGCAGUGGAAAGUGACCUGAAAAAAUUAGGUGACCAAACUGGGAAGAAAGCUAUCAGCACCAACUCAGAACUCUCCACCUUCAGAUCAGACAUUCUAGAUCUCCGUCAGCAACUUCGUGAGAUUACAGAAAAAACCAGCAAGAACAAGGAUACGCUGGAGAAGUUACAGGCGAGCGGGGAUGCACUGGUGGACAGGCAGAGUCAAUUGAAAGAAACUUUGGAGAAUAACUCUUUCCUCAUCACCACUGUAAACAAAACCCUCCAGGCGUAUAAUGGCUAUGUCACGAAUCUGCAGCAAGAUACCAGCGUGCUCCAGGGCAAUCUGCAGAACCAAAUGUAUUCUCAUAACGUGGUCAUCAUGAACCUCAACAACCUGAACCUGACCCAGGUACAGCAGAGGAACCUCAUCACGAAUCUGCAGCGGUCUGUGGAUGACACAAGCCAGGCUAUCCAGCGAAUCAAGAACGACUUUCAAAAUCUGCAGCAGGUUUUUCUUCAAGCCAAGAAGGACACGGAUUGGCUGAAGGAGAAAGUGCAGAGCUUGCAGACGCUGGCUGCCAACAACUCUGCGUUGGCCAAAGCCAACAACGACACCCUGGAGGAUAUGAACAGCCAGCUCAACUCAUUCACAGGUCAGAUGGAGAACAUCUCCACUAUCUCUCAAGCCAACGAACAGAACCUGAAAGACCUGCAGGACUUACACAAAGAUGCAGAGAAUAGAACAGCUAUCAAGUUCAACCAACUGGAGGAACGCUUCCAGCUCUUUGAGACGGAUAUUGUGAACAUCAUUAGCAAUAUCAGUUACACAGCCCACCACCUGCGGACGCUGACCAGCAAUCUAAAUGAAGUCAGGACCACUUGCACAGAUACCCUUACCAAACACACAGAUGAUCUGACCUCCUUGAAUAAUACCCUUGCCAACAUCCGUUUGGAUUCUGUUUCUCUCAGGAUGCAACAAGAUUUGAUGAGGUCGAGGUUAGACACUGAAGUAGCCAACUUAUCAGUGAUUAUGGAAGAAAUGAAGCUAGUAGACUCCAAGCAUGGUCAGCUCAUCAAGAAUUUUACAAUACUACAAGGUCCACCGGGCCCCAGGGGUCCAAAAGGUGACAGAGGAUCCCAGGGACCCCCUGGUCCAACUGGCAACAAGGGACAGAAAGGAGAGAAGGGGGAGCCUGGACCGCCUGGCCCUGCGGGUGAGAGAGGCCCAAUUGGACCAGCUGGUCCCCCCGGAGAGCGUGGUGGCAAAGGAUCUAAAGGCUCCCAGGGCCCCAAAGGCUCCCGUGGUUCCCCUGGGAAGCCCGGCCCUCAGGGCCCCAGUGGGGACCCAGGCCCCCCGGGCCCACCAGGCAAAGAAGGACUCCCCGGCCCCCAGGGCCCUCCUGGCUUCCAGGGACUGCAGGGCACCGUGGGGGAGCCUGGGGUGCCUGGACCUCGGGGACUGCCAGGCUUGCCUGGGGUACCAGGCAUGCCAGGCCCCAAGGGCCCCCCCGGCCCUCCUGGCCCAUCAGGAGCGGUGGUGCCCCUGGCCCUGCAGAAUGAGCCAACCCCGGCACCGGAGGACAAUGGUAAGUCCAAGCCCUCCCCCAGCCAGGGGGACAGGGCAGUGCAUGUGCUUGAGACUGAGCCAACCCCCAGUGUGUGGCCCCACCGAUGUUAUUUGUUUUUGUUUUUGUUUUUGUUUUUGUUUUGAGACAGGGUCUCACUCUGUUGCCCAGGCUGGAGUGGAGUGGCGUGAUCUCGGCUCAGUGCAACCUCCACAUCCUGGGUUCAAGUGAUUCUCCUGCCUUAGCCUCCCAGGUAGCUGGGACUACAAGCGUGUGCCACUACAGCAAGCUAAUUUUUGUAUUUUUAGUAGAGAGGGUGUUUCACCAUGUUGGCCAGGCUGGUCUCAAACUCCUGGCCUCAAGUGAUCCACCUACCUUAGUCUCCCAAAGUGCUGGGAUUACAGGUGUGAGCCACCACGUCUUGUCCCCUGCUACCUAUCAUUUAACAGCAAAGGCAUCAUAGGGGCUGGCACAGGAGCCCUGCUGCCAAAACAGGCCUCCAUACCAGGCAUGUGUUUCUCUCUAAACGCCAUCGGGUUCUCUAGCGCUCAUUUGUUUUAUGUAUUAUGUAUGUAUGUAUGGGACAGGAUCUCACUCCGUCACCCAGGCUGGAAUGACGGAGCGAAGUAGUGCAAACACAGCUCACUGCAGCUUUGACCUCCUGGGCUUAGGUGAUCUUCUCACUCAGACUCCUGCGUAGCUGCAACCACAGGGGUGUGCCACCACACCUGGCUAAUUUUUUAUUUUCCUUUUUGUAGAGACAGGGUCUUGCUAUGUUGCCCAGGCUGGUCUUGAACUCCUGGCCUAAAGCAACCCUCCCGCCUCAGUCUUGCAAAGUGCUGGGAUUCCAGGUGUGGGCCACCGCACUCGGCUGUUACACUUGUUCAUUUAUAGGAGCCAGCCCUCAGAAGACAAACACAACGCAAAACAUUUCCUUCAGGGAAGCCUGCGGCUGGCACCCUGACCGCUCUUCCCUCGUUUUACAUCCUCACUCUGGAGAUAGAUGGGCUCCCUCGGUUAGCUCCAUCAACAUGAGGAUGGAACCCUCUGCUAUUGAUGACUACAUUUAAUUUCUUUUUGAGAAGGUGUUAGAUGUUACAGUGCCUUCUAAUCUUUUGAUAAUUAAACCUUUGGCAAAACUUGAAUGUUUGGUUAGCAACCAAGCCUAUUUUUCUCUCCUUCGACCCAACCCCUAUUCUACUUGAUUUUGGUCGGUGAGGCCCAGGUUAUCUUUGUUGAUCCAUGAGCCCAGUUUUGGUGCUGGGUUCUCACAUCCAACUGUUCAUAGGUUCCGUAUGAUUCCAGACUGACGCUGAACAUCUGUGCCUGCCCUGCUUCCUGUUGUUGCUUCUGUUAUUUCUGUCAUUGUGAAGACGGAUCCAGACACAGAAGAACAAAGACCCAGUCAAAGAUCUUUUCCAGAUUAUGUGGUUUUGGCUUGUGCUCUGCAGUCUACUCUGGGCUCAUGCUUGCUGCGAGCACGUCCGUGAACAUCAGCUGUGGGCCUCGUGCAGGGACGCUCAGGCUGCUCCCAGCAGGACCACAGUUUUGGCCUCUGAAACACAGCUGAAGAAAGGCAGAGUGCUUUCUGUGAUUUUUUAAUCAAUGUUUUCCAUUUUUGCAUUCCUAGGCUGCCCGCCUCACUGGAAGAACUUCACAGACAAAUGCUACUAUUUUUCGGUUGAGAAAGAAAUUUUUGAGGAUGCAAAGCUUUUCUGUGAAGACAAGUCUUCACAUCUUGUUUUCAUAAACACUAGAGAGGAACAGCAAUGGAUAAAAAAACAGAUGGUAGGGAGAGAGAGCCACUGGAUCGGCCUCACAGACUCAGAGCGUGAAAAUGAAUGGAAGUGGCUGGAUGGGACAUCUCCAGACUACAAAAAUUGGAAAGCUGGACAGCCGGAUAACUGGGGUCAUGGCCACGGGCCAGGAGAAGACUGUGCUGGGUUGAUUUAUGCUGGGCAGUGGAACGAUUUCCAAUGUGAAGACGUCAAUAACUUCAUUUGUGAAAAAGACAGGGAGACAGUACUGUCAUCUGCAUUAUAAUGGACUGUGAUGGGAUCACAUGAGCAAAUUUUCAGCUCUCAAAGGAAAAGGACACUCCUUUCUUAUUGCAUCACCUUCUCAUCAGAUUGAAAAAAAAAAGCACUGAAAACCAAUUACUGAAAAAAAAUUGACAGCUAAUGUUUUUUACCAUCCGUCAUUACCCAAAGACUUGGGAACUAAAAUGUUCCCCAGGGUGAUAUGCUGAGUUUCAUUGCACACAUGGACUGAAUCACAUAGAUUCUCCUCCGUCAGUAACCGUGCGAUUAUACAAAUUAUGUCUUCCAAAGUAUGGAACACUCCAGUCAGAAAAAGGUUAUCAUUGGUCGUUGAGUUAUAGGAAGAACUUAAGCAUAUACUGUGUAAACAGUGCCAUACAUUUCUAAAAUCCCAAGUGUAGGAAAAAUAUGCAGACAUACAGAUAUAUAGGCCAGCUCUUAGUAAUAAUAUGAAAUAUACUUAAAGAGCUUUUAAAACUUUGUAUUUUUGUACAAAAUAUUUGUCUUUUACAAUUUUUUUCCUUUUUUUUUUUUGUCAUUUUACCGACAUAAUACAUGGAGCCAAAGAAAACAAUAAUGGUACUAAUAAAAACUCCUAGGGUUUCCUGUCAGAUUUAAUUCUACCCAGUGGCAAAGAAUUUUUUCAAUUGUGGUUUUAAAAAACUAAUUAAAUAUACAUGUAUAUA
RNAcentral lists this small RNA (4728 nucleotides) under Pongo abelii (Sumatran orangutan). RNAcentral's name for it is "retained intron". The record is from RNAcentral. Lineage: Eukaryota; Metazoa; Chordata; Mammalia; Primates; Hominidae.